This 455-nucleotide ribosomal RNA is filed under the name Onychothemis culminicola. RNAcentral describes it as "eukaryotic LSU rRNA". Lineage: Eukaryota; Metazoa; Arthropoda; Insecta; Odonata; Libellulidae. The record is from RNAcentral.
GAAGAGAGAGUUCAAGAGUACGUGAAACCGUCUGGGAGUAAACGGGUGGUUCCCGAAAGUGCGAAAGGGGAGAUUCAGUCUCGCCGUGCGCCGGGCCUCGCCCGCGACUCGGGAUGGCGUUCUCGCGGCCGUGGGGCGACCCACGGUCCGGGANNNUCGCCACCCCGCGGGCGCGGUCUCUCCCGGCGUCGGAGUGACGCACUUCUCCCCCGGUAGAACGUCGCGAUCCGUCGGUCGCCGGCCUAAGGUCCCCGGUGGAGACUGCGCGGUUCGCCGCGCACGACCCGGGGGUUCCCGGCCGGGUGCCCGACGGUAUGAAGAGAGGAAGGAGUCGGCGCGCCCCAUUGAGCGGGCGUCCGCCCCUCCGCAAGCGCCCGCGGGAGUCGGGAGUCCGGGCCCGGCCCGGCUUCCUUCUUCAGCGGGGCUGUUUGCGAGAUAUGGAGGUGAGCUCGGAC